Molecule: ribosomal RNA, 508 nt
Filed under: uncultured bacterium
Lineage: Bacteria
Description: partial 16S ribosomal RNA
Rfam family: Bacterial small subunit ribosomal RNA
Source: RNAcentral
GACGAACGCUGGCGGCGUGCCUAAUACAUGCAAGUCGAACGCUUCUUUCCUCCCGAGUGCUUGCACUCAAUUGGAAAGAGGAGUGGCGGACGGGUGAGUAACACGUGGGUAACCUACCCAUCCGAGGGGGAUAACACUUGGAAACAGGUGCUAAUACCGCAUAACAGUUUAUGCCGCAUGGCAUAAGAGUGAAAGGCGCUUUCGGGUGUCGUUGAUGGAUGGACCCGCGGUGCAUUAGCUAGUUGGUGAGGUAACGGCUCACCAAGGCCACGAUGCAUAGCCGGCCUGAGAGGGUGAUCGGCCACACUGGGACUGAGACACGGCCCAGACUCCUACGGGAGGCAGCAGUAGGGAAUCUUCGGCAAUGGACGAAAGUCUGACCGAGCAACGCCGCGUGAGUGAAGAAGGUUUUCGGAUCGUAAAACUCUGUUGUUAGAGAAGAACAAGGACGUUAGUAACUGAACGUCCCCUGACGGUAUCUAACCAGAAAGCCACGGCUAACUACGUG